Molecule: long non-coding RNA, 401 nt
Organism: Trifolium pratense (red clover)
Lineage: Eukaryota; Viridiplantae; Streptophyta; Magnoliopsida; Fabales; Fabaceae
Exons: 3
Source: RefSeq, a predicted model, not a curated record
AUCAUAUGAUUCUGUUGCUUCGAUCAAUGCUUUGAAAGAGAGCUGGAACCUGAUGGUUCGUGUCGUCCAUUUGUGGUACGUCAAAGAUCUUGAUUCUUGAAAAUUAUCAUUUUCCAUUGAAAUGGAAAUGAUGUACAAGAAUGGUGAUCAUAUUCAAGUAUGGGUGAAAGGAAGCUAGCAUUUUAUUAUGGGAGAAACAUGUAAAAUAUCAUGGGCCAAAACAUCCAAAAGAAGAUGAUACGAAGAUCAAACAGUAAAGAGAAACUCCCAUAACAUUGUCAACAACUAAAGACUUAACCUCAGUUAUUGUUAGAAGAAUUGUGGUGGAAGGAUUGUGUUCGUGAUAGAAUUUAAGCUAUAUGUGUUAUUAUUUAUAUGUAAAAUAACUGUAAAAAAAAUUG